ACUCCAGAGGCACAGCAACGCGGGAACCAAGCCGCAUCUGCAACCUACACCACAGCUCAUGGCAACGCCGGAUCUUUAAUCCACUGAGCGAGGCCAGGGAUCGAACUUGCAACCUCAUGGGUCCUAGUUGGAUUGGUUAACCGCUGAGCCACCACAGGAACUCCUCUCCUGUUACUCUUGAUUUUGCACAUUGGGAUCCUGUUCAAUACACUUCGCUGCAUUUGAAACCCCUCCCAGUCAAUGGGGGCAUGCUUUUUGAAAGGCUGCAUGACAUUCCACACUGGGGAGAGAGGCAUGGCUGUGCUCACACCUACACCCCGCCUGCUGGGCACGGGCCUGGCCGUCUCAGUUCCAGAUCCACUAGAGACCACGGUGCUGUAAGCGCCCCUGAACGCAUACCCAUCCUUCCUUUCUUGAGCUUUGAUUGUAACAGGCUGAAUUUCUACCUCUUUUGCCUCAGGGAAGAAAACCAAGAGAUAUAGAUGGAGGGGGUUUGCCUGGAAUCACACAUCCAAUAAGUGUUCAAAGCAAGUGCACUGGAUGCUGUAUCACAUACUCUUUAUUCCACCAGACACUCUGUCCUUCUUCUAGCCUUACUGCUAGAAAUGUUUCUUUCCAUCAGAUUCAGUAAAGGCUUGCCCUGAAAUCCUUCCUCCCCUGGGACAGAGGUGGUCAAGUGCCUGGCUGUCACAGAACAUCUUGGUGGCUCUGGGUGGAGGGAAUUCAAUGCAGACGAGGCAUUCAGGGCUGCUGCUAGUGCCAGCAUGUAGCAAGCACUUGGGGAAGUCGUGCUAAAAAUACUACAUCUGCUCAAUAAAUGGGUAUUGAAUGCCGACAGUGUUCCAGGCUGGCAGGCGACAGACUUUGUUCAGCCCUGUUCUAAGAUGGCAGGAACAGCCUUGGGCCUCAUUCAUUUCCAUCUUGGAGGCUUACUGGCUGGGCCUGGAGUCCCUGGGGUUGUUAUCAAGGGGAUUCAAGGUCCCCCAGACAGGUCAGACCAGACUGGCCACAAAAUUCUGUGGCCCUGCCUCAUGAGCCACACUGUCCUCAUCUGUGGACUGGGAAGGGGAGAGGGUAAAAACUGGACUUGAGGGACCUUGGACUUCAAACCUGCCAUGUCACCAGUGGGAGUAAGGUACAGAACUGCAAAGGGAUAUUUCCAAAGUGUCCCAGGAGCUGGUGAUGGGGUUGGGGCACAAGUCCCUUCUGGGGGGCUUCUAGCCUUAUUGUUCUUUGUUCUGUGCUGCUGCCAUUUCAACCCUGUGCACAUGUGUGCCCGUUUUCUUUUCCUCUCUACAAACCUGGAUGAAAUACACACUGAUGAAAACUGUGGGCUGUGAGAACAGGCAGGCCUGAGUUUGAGUCUUAGCCUCCUACCCAUACAGUGACCUCAGAAAAUUAUUUAACCUCUGUGGGUUCAUAACAAUGGCCAGUCCCCCAGAGUUCUGAGAAUUCCAUGAAACAAUGACUUGAAAGGGCCUAGCAGGAAGCCAACCACAUAGUAUGCACUCACUAAAUGCUGAUCAUGUCUUUUAGUUCCCAUUUGCAUCUUUGAAUUCUUGCAGAACCUCUCUGCAAUUCCCAGAGUCUCCAGUACAACUUGUUUUCCCCAAACAAUAGCUCUCUUGACGUCUGAGGAGAAUGGGGGCCUCUGUGAAGCUCUUCCAAACCCUCUAUUGCGGGCUUUCAUCCACUGAACCCCUGAGGAAUUGUCGGCCUGCACUUAACUUCUCCAGAAGCAAGACUCUGCUGAUCCCUUUCUGCUGAACAGCAAUGAACUUGUCAAGAGACCAGCCAGGAGGGAGGUGGUGAAGGGGCAGGAGCAGGGCAGGCAGGUGUACAAGCCAGCGAGGAGGGCUGGGGCCAUCCAUCUUGAUUCUUUUCUCCGUGUCCAAGUGUAAAGGGAUUUGUGUCUACAAGGCUGUCUUCGCCAACCUCAGGGAAGAAGAGAAGUUGUUUAAUUGGAAAGUUUUACUUCUACCACAGAGGAAGAUUCUGGGACAAUUAGGGAUAUUGUAAUUUCUUAUUAAGGUCAAAAAGAAAUGAUAGGUAGAGCCCAUGAGUCACUUUCCAACAUGGUGAGAAAUGGAGUUGCUGGGUGACUGGGUGCGAGUGAGCCUGCGUGCCCCCAGUCUUAACGAUGUGGAGGGGGGGCUGUGGGAAGGGCGCUGGCUGCCUCCUUCCUGCCUCUGGAAUGCUCACCUUUUUGGAAACCCAAUAAAAUUAAUUCCAAGCUCAGAUUAUUAAUUCGUCCUGGUGUGUGAAUAAUUCAUUGUGGCAGAAGCCCUGUCACAUCUUCACGUUUUGGAGCGCAUAGCCUCUCCCGCUCUUGCCUUCGGAGAGAUGGCUUUCCCUUCUAACCUGCCCAAGUGUGAGAGGGACCAAGCACUCAGCCAUCAAUUCCCCAAGGAGGUCUGAGCCCUGAUUUGAGCCUGAUGCCUAUUUCGAAUCCAGCAGCCAGAGUGUAGGUGGCUGCAGUGAACUGAGGCGACCUGCUGAAGUCAGGAUGCUUCUUAAGGACCAGGGGGACUUGCUCGCCAGGCUCAUGGCUGCACAAGGAUGUAAAAGGAAUUCCUGUCGUGACCAAACGCCACUGCCCAUUACAGUGAGGUCCUCUGAGAGGACCUCCAUUGGCCUGCCCAUCAAUUAUGCAUUUCCCCAGCACACCUUCCAGGCCAGCUUCUCGUGUCAGGAUUGUUCCCUGACUGCUCCCCUCUGAGCAAGUGUCUCCACUCUGCUCCUGGGGAAGAGAUAAGAGAUGAGGCACUACCAGCUGAUAGCCUCCAGGGAGCCCAGUGCCAAAGCCUAAGUGGAACAAGGGAAGGGAUGAGUGGGUCCAGAAGCUUCUCUCUUGAACAGGAAUAAGGAGCAUGGGCCAUCCUCUGUUAAACCAGUGGCUCUGGGGAUCUUUCUUGCUUUGAACACAUGUUGUCACUGAACUGUGUGCUUACAAAGGACCCUGGGAUGCAGACGGGUGAGCAAGCUGCCCUUCUGAUAGAUGAGGCAUCUGCCACUUGAAGAGGCACAGGCAGUGUGUAGCUUUGCCUGGCAGGUUCUGGUCGGGCUUGAAAUAGUCCCUAAUCUGGUGGGCAAAUAAUUCUCGUAUCUCUUCUUUUACCAAGGAGGAUGCUCACCCCAACCCUGCGUAUUCGUUACCCGCACUCAGGACAGGAGUCCUGGCCACCGCUUGGAUCUGGUUCUUGGGCUAAGGAGCUUCUGCUCUGAGCUGGCAGCAGACACCCAAUAAGGUCUCAGUGACAGGGCCCUGCUAAGGGAUAAGGAAGAUACGUGAGGACCCAGGGAAGAGCAGCCUGCUGACUACAAGUUCCUCAAGGGCAAGGACCACGUCUGAUGAAUGUCCCACUGCAGCCCAUCCCACAGCACAGCUGUAUCGUGAUAAAAGCAGAACGAGAGAAUAAAUGAAGGAAUGCAAGGCAGACCCCAAGGAAAGCCAAUGGAGAGGUAAAACCAAGCAGCCCCUGGAGGCCUGAGGAGAGGGUGCUAUCUCCAUCUGGGGGAUCUAGGAUGACUUCCUGGAGGAGGUGGCAUUGGAACUUUGGGGAUUCUCUGGCUGUGAAUUCAGAGGGUUCUCCUGCCUCAUUUAGACAUUCAAAGACGACUUACUAAUUAACAACUGGAGAAAGAAUUCUGCAUGCAGACUGUUUGUACCUUAGCCGAGUGUCCCCAAACUUGGGAAACACAGUAGCACUUUAUGUAGGUUUCCAGUUGAGCCUGGAAUCAGCGUGAAUUGUUGGGAGGGGUUUGGGGAGUAGGGUAGACAGGCACAGGCUCUGCAGAGCCUGGCACCACACCCCUCUCUCUUCCCUUCAGAGCACAUCUUUCCAGAGACCAUCACAUUUGAUCUUGCCGAUUAUUUGGUCAACCUCUUUUCUCUGGGCAGCGCUGAUGGGGAACAACAUAUGCUUGGCCUUCUGCCUUCCUCUCCUAUACACACCCCUACACACACCCACAUCACACCCAUUUAUCUCCAUGACAACAAGGGGAGAGAGCGUGGCCUGAUGCUUCCAGGCCUCAAUACGCGGACUUAGAGCCUAGAGACUUAGCAGUUCUGGCCCUGCAGCCUCACAAAGAAGGACUAGAGUGAUUGCAGAGGCCAGGCAUGGAGAAGGGAGGGCUUUGGGGUUGCUUGUGCCCUCAGAGAGGAGGGGUCAUUGCCCUGGGAGCCCUACUGCUGGCCGUUUCCUGAUGAAGAGGUUGGUCAUUUUGCCCCCAAACACCCUCAUCCCUUGUCAGGGAUAAGCAGCGUUUGGGGGAAGGAGGGCCGGCUUUGUAUCCAAUCCCAGCUCUACCAUUUCCCUCUUCUUGUGAGUUCUCUGAACCUCUGGAUCUGCAUCUAUAAAAGGACAACUCCUUGAAAGGACUUCUGUGACUUCUAGAAAUUGGCAUUAAAAAAAAAAAUCUAUCAACGCCUCUGUUUUAGAAACUAACCAAAUGAGAUUGGUCAAAAUCAGAGAUAGGGUGUGAGGGGUGGAGAACGUGCAAACCGGCAAAAUAGGGAAACAACUAGUCAGUCUAAUUAAGAAAAAGAGUAGAGACAAAACAAUACCAAAAUUAGGAGUGGGAAAGGGAAUAUGGCCAUUGGUAUUACACAGAGGAUGUUAUAAAACUAAUAUGAGGAUAUAUGAACCAACUCUGUAAAAUAUGUUGAAGACAAGAUCAAAUGCAUAUUUUUCUAUGAAAACAUAUACUUAACUUUAAAAAUGGCAGUUUCAGACUUCCCUUGUGGCUCACAACAUAACUGCAUAGCGUUGCUUCUACAGUGGCUGUGGCUUAACUCUUGGCUCGGGUAUUUCAUAUGCCACAGGUGUGGCCACUUGUUUAAAAAAUAAAAUAAAAAAAUUUUAAAUGACAAGUUCAUCAGAGCAAAACCCUGGGAGAAAGUGGAAGAAAAAGUCAAUGAAUUACAUCUCCAACUAAUUUGCAUCCGUGUAGGAAAACAGGCUAAAAUAGUUUCACAGACUGCUUCUUUUUUUUUCUCUUCAAAAUUUCAAGGAGUUAAUCAUUACCAAGCUAUACAAAGUAUUCCAGAAUGUUUUUUUAAUAAAUCAAUACCUAAUUCAUUUUACAAGUUAGAAUAUUGCUAAUAAUCAUGUUUGACAACGAUAAUAUCCAAAAAAUAAAUCUACAAGAUAUCACCAGUGGAUUUACAUGUAAAGAUUCUAAAUAAAGUAUGCAUAUAUAUCAAAUUUCUGAAGUGUAUUAAAAGGAUAAUAUACUAUGAUUAAGUAGGGUAUAAUCUGGGUAUGGUAGGUUUAAAAAUCAAUCAACAUAAUUUAUCAAGUUAAAAAUAGUAAAGUAUUGAGUUCCCAUUGUGUCUCAGUGGGUUAAGAACCUGACAUAGUCUCUGAAGAUGUGGGUUCAAUUCCUGGCUUUGCUCAGUGGGUAAAGGAUCCGGCAUGCCGCAAGCUGCAGCAUAAGAUUGCAGAUGAGGCUUGGAUGUGAUGUUGCUGUGGCUGUGGUAUAGGCCAGCAGCUGCAGCUCCGAUUCAAUGCCUAGCCUAGGAACUUCCAUAUGCUGUAGGUGUGCCAUGAAAAGAAUAAUAAAAUAAAAAAUAAAACAAA
RNAcentral lists this long non-coding RNA (5582 nucleotides) under Sus scrofa (pig). Its description in RNAcentral is "lncRNA (ENSSSCG00045022636.1)". The record is from RNAcentral. Lineage: Eukaryota; Metazoa; Chordata; Mammalia; Artiodactyla; Suidae.